RNAcentral lists this transfer RNA (76 nucleotides) under Candidatus Bathyarchaeota archaeon. RNAcentral's name for it is "tRNA-Arg". It matches the Rfam family "tRNA". From Rfam's summary of the family: Transfer RNA (tRNA) molecules are approximately 80 nucleotides in length. The record is from RNAcentral. RNAcentral also lists the same sequence under 1 other name. Lineage: Archaea; Thermoproteati; Candidatus Bathyarchaeota.
GGGCCCGUAGCCUAGCCAGGAUUAAGGCGUUGGCCUUCGGAGCCGGAGAUCCGGGGUUCAAAUCCCCGCGGGCCCG